This 274-nucleotide ribosomal RNA is filed under the name uncultured bacterium. Its description in RNAcentral is "partial 16S ribosomal RNA". It matches the Rfam family "Bacterial small subunit ribosomal RNA", at positions 523 to 796 of the family's 1533-position model. The record is from RNAcentral.
AUACGGAGGCUGCAAACGUUAAUCGGAAUUACUGGGCGUAAAGCGCGCGUAGGUGGUUUAGUAAGUCGGAUGUGAAAGCCCUGGGCUCAACCUGGGAAUUGCAUUCGAUACUGCUUGACUAGAGUAUGGUAGAGGGAAGUGGAAUUUCCGGUGUAGCGGUGAAAUGCGUAGAUAUCGGAAGGAACACCAGUGGCGAAGGCGACUUUCUGGGCCAAUACUGACGCUGAGGUGCGAAAGCGUGGGGAGCAAACAGGAUUAGAAACCCUGGUAGUCC